RNAcentral lists this ribosomal RNA (207 nucleotides) under uncultured bacterium. RNAcentral's name for it is "partial 16S ribosomal RNA". It matches the Rfam family "Bacterial small subunit ribosomal RNA", at positions 568 to 774 of the family's 1533-position model. The record is from RNAcentral.
UGCGUAGGCGGGUUUCUAAGUCAGAGGUGAAAGCCUGGAGCUCAACUCCAGAACUGCCUUUGAUACUGGAAGUCUUGAGUAUGGCAGAGGUGAGUGGAACUGCGAGUGCAGAGGUGAAAUUCGUAGAUAUUCGCAAGAACACCAGUGGCGAAGGCGGCUCACUGGGCCAUUACUGACGCUGAGGCACGAAAGCGUGGGGAGCAAACA